UUAAGCGACUAAGCGUACACGGUGGAUGCCCUGGCAGUCAGAGGCGAUGAAGGACGUGCUAAUCUGCGAAAAGCGUCGGUAAGGUGAUAUGAACCGUUAUAACCGGCGAUGUCCGAAUGGGGAAACCCAGUGCAAUUCGUUGCACUAUCGUUAACUGAAUACAUAGGUUAACGAGGCGAACCGGGGGAACUGAAACAUCUAAGUACCCCGAGGAAAAGAAAUCAACCGAGAUUCCCCCAGUAGCGGCGAGCGAACGGGGAGCAGCCCAGAGUCUGAAUCAGCUUGUGUGUUAGUGGAACGGUCUGGAAAGUCCGACGGUACAGGGUGAUAGUCCCGUACACCAAAAUGCACAGGCUGUGAACUCGAAGAGUAGGGCGGGACACGUGGUAUCCUGUCUGAAUAUGGGGGGACCAUCCUCCAAGGCUAAAUACUCCUGACUGACCGAUAGUGAACCAGUACCGUGAGGGAAAGGCGAAAAGAACCCCGGCGAGGGGAGUGAAAAAGAACCUGAAACCGUGUACGUACAAGCAGUGGGAGCACCUUCGGGUGUGACUGCGUACCUUUUGUAUAAUGGGUCAGCGACUUAUAUUCUGUAGCAAAGUUAACCGUAUAGGGGAGCCGCAGGGAAACCGAGUCUUAACUGGGCGUUAAGUUGCAGGGUAUAGACCCGAAACCCGGUGAUCUAGCCAUGGGCAGGUUGAAGGUUGGGUAACACUAACUGGAGGACCGAACCGACUAAUGUUGAAAAUUAGCGGAUGACUUGUGGCUGGGGGUGAAAGGCCAAUCAAACCGGGAGAUAGCUGGUUCUCCCCGAAAGCUAUUUAGGUAGCGCCUCGUGAAUUCAUCUUCGGGGGUAGAGCACUGUUUCGGCUAGGGGGUCAUCCCGACUUACCAACCCGAUGCAAACUACGAAUACCGAAGAAUGUUAUCACGGGAGACACACGGCGGGUGCUAACGUCCGUCGUGAAGAGGGAAACAACCCAGACCGCCAGCUAAGGUCCCAAAGUCAUGGUUAAGUGGGAAACGAUGUGGGAAGGCACAGACAGCCAGGAUGUUGGCUUAGAAGCAGCCAUCAUUUAAAGAAAGCGUAAUAGCUCACUGGUCGAGUCGGCCUGCGCGGAAGAUGUAACGGGGCUAAACCAUGCACCGAAGCUGCGGCAGCGACACUAUGUGUUGUUGGGUAGGGGAGCGUUCUGUAAGCCUGCGAAGGUGUGCUGUGAGGCAUGCUGGAGGUAUCAGAAGUGCGAAUGCUGACAUAAGUAACGAUAAAGCGGGUGAAAAGCCCGCUCGCCGGAAGACCAAGGGUUCCUGUCCAACGUUAAUCGGGGCAGGGUGAGUCGACCCCUAAGGCGAGGCCGAAAGGCGUAGUCGAUGGGAAACAGGUUAAUAUUCCUGUACUUGGUGUUACUGCGAAGGGGGGACGGAGAAGGCUAUGUUAGCCGGGCGACGGUUGUCCCGGUUUAAGCAUGUAGGCUGGUUGUCCAGGCAAAUCCGGAUAAUCAAGGCUGAGGUGUGAUGACGAGGCACUACGGUGCUGAAGUAACAAAUGCCCUGCUUCCAGGAAAAGCCUCUAAGCAUCAGGUAACAUCAAAUCGUACCCCAAACCGACACAGGUGGUCAGGUAGAGAAUACCAAGGCGCUUGAGAGAACUCGGGUGAAGGAACUAGGCAAAAUGGUGCCGUAACUUCGGGAGAAGGCACGCUGGUGUGUAGGUGAAGUCCCUGCGGAUGGAGCUGAGACCAGUCGAAGAUACCAGCUGGCUGCAACUGUUUAUUAAAAACACAGCACUGUGCAAACACGAAAGUGGACGUAUACGGUGUGACGCCUGCCCGGUGCCGGAAGGUUAAUUGAUGGGGUUAUCCGUAAGGAGAAGCUCUUGAUCGAAGCCCCGGUAAACGGCGGCCGUAACUAUAACGGUCCUAAGGUAGCGAAAUUCCUUGUCGGGUAAGUUCCGACCUGCACGAAUGGCGUAAUGAUGGCCAGGCUGUCUCCACCCGAGACUCAGUGAAAUUGAACUCGCUGUGAAGAUGCAGUGUACCCGCGGCAAGACGGAAAGACCCCGUGAACCUUUACUAUAGCUUGACACUGAACAUUGAGCCUUGAUGUGUAGGAUAGGUGGGAGGCUUUGAAGCGUGGACGCCAGUCUGCGUGGAGCCAACCUUGAAAUACCACCCUUUAAUGUUUGAUGUUCUAACGUUGGCCCCUUACCGGGGUUGCGGACAGUGUCUGGUGGGUAGUUUGACUGGGGCGGUCUCCUCCCAAAGCGUAACGGAGGAGCACGAAGGUUAGCUAAUCCUGGUCGGACAUCAGGAGGUUAGUGCAAUGGCAUAAGCUAGCUUGACUGCGAGCGUGACGGCGCGAGCAGGUGCGAAAGCAGGUCAUAGUGAUCCGGUGGUUCUGAAUGGAAGGGCCAUCGCUCAACGGAUAAAAGGUACUCCGGGGAUAACAGGCUGAUACCGCCCAAGAGUUCAUAUCGACGGCGGUGUUUGGCACCUCGAUGUCGGCUCAUCACAUCCUGGGGCUGAAGUAGGUCCCAAGGGUAUGGCUGUUCGCCAUUUAAAGUGGUACGCGAGCUGGGUUUAGAACGUCGUGAGACAGUUCGGUCCCUAUCUGCCGUGGGCGCUGGAGAAUUGAGGGGGGCUGCUCCUAGUACGAGAGGACCGGAGUGGACGCAUCACUGGUGUUCGGGUUGUCAUGCCAAUGGCACUGCCCGGUAGCUAAAUGCGGAAGAGAUAAGUGCUGAAAGCAUCUAAGCACGAAACUUGCCCCGAGAUGAGUUCUCCCUGAGACUUUAAGUCUCCUGAAGGAACGUUGAAGACGACGACGUUGAUAGGCCGGGUGUGUAAGCGCAGCGAUGCGUUGAGCUAACCGGUACUAAUGAACCGUGAGGCUUAACCUU
Molecule: ribosomal RNA, 2899 nt
Filed under: Klebsiella pneumoniae
Lineage: Bacteria; Pseudomonadati; Pseudomonadota; Gammaproteobacteria; Enterobacterales; Enterobacteriaceae
Description: bacterial LSU rRNA
Rfam family: Bacterial large subunit ribosomal RNA
Source: RNAcentral